Molecule: ribosomal RNA, 492 nt
Filed under: uncultured bacterium
Lineage: Bacteria
Description: partial 16S ribosomal RNA
Rfam family: Bacterial small subunit ribosomal RNA
Source: RNAcentral
AGUGAACGCUGGCGGUAGGCCUAACACAUGCAAGUCGAACGGCAGCACAGUAAGAGCUUGCUCUUACGGGUGGCGAGUGGCGGACGGGUGAGGAAUACAUCGGAAUCUACUUUUUCGUGGAGGAUAACGCAGGGAAACUUACGCUAAUACCGCAUACGACCUACGGGUGAAAGCAGGGGAUCUUCGGACCUUGCGCGAUUGAAUGAGCCGAUGUCGGAUUAGCUAGUUGGCGGGGUAAAGGCCCACCAAGGCGACGAUCCGUAGCUGGUCUGAGAGGAUGAUCAGCCACACUGGAACUGAGACACGGUCCAGACUCCUACGGGAGGCAGCAGUGGGGAAUAUUGGACAAUGGGCGCAAGCCUGAUCCAGCCAUACCGCGUGGGUGAAGAAGGCCUUCGGGUUGUAAAGCCCUUUUGUUGGGAAAGAAAAGCAGCAGGUUAAUACCCCGCUGUUCUGACGGUACCCAAAGAAUAAGCACCGGCUAACUUCGUG